AGUGAACGCUGGCGGUAGGCCUAACACAUGCAAGUCGAACGGCAGCACAGUAAGAGCUUGCUCUUACGGGUGGCGAGUGGCGGACGGGUGAGGAAUACAUCGGAAUCUACUUUUUCGUGGGGGAUAACGUAGGGAAACUUACGCUAAUACCGCAUACGACCUACGGGUGAAAGCAGGGGAUCUUCGGACCUUGCGCGAUUGAAUGAGCCGAUGUCGGGUUAGCUAGUUGGCAGGGUAAAGGCCCACCAAGGCGACGAUCCGUAGCUGGUCUGAGAGGAUGAUCAGCCACACUGGAACUGAGACACGGUCCAGACUCCUACGGGAGGCAGCAGUGGGGAAUAUUGGACAAUGGGCGCAAGCCUGAUCCAGCCAUACCGCGUGAGUGAAGAAGGCCUUCGGGUUGUAAAGCCCUUUUGUUGGGAAAGAAAAGCAGCAGAUUAAUACCCCGCUGUUCUGACGGUACCCAAAGAAUAAGCACCGGCUAACUUCGUG
This 492-nucleotide ribosomal RNA is filed under the name uncultured bacterium. RNAcentral describes it as "partial 16S ribosomal RNA". It matches the Rfam family "Bacterial small subunit ribosomal RNA", at positions 29 to 507 of the family's 1533-position model. The record is from RNAcentral.